UUUUUUUUUUUUUUUUUUUUUUUUUAUCAUAAUUGCUGCA
RNAcentral lists this non-coding RNA (40 nucleotides) under Thoracosphaera heimii. Lineage: Eukaryota; Dinophyceae; Thoracosphaerales; Thoracosphaeraceae. The record is from RNAcentral.